CCAGCCUGGGUGACAGAGCGAGACUCCGUCUCAAAAAAAAAAAAAGGAAAGGUUCUGAAAUUUAUAAGAUGGACACAAAAACCACAGACUUCCUGAGCAAUACUACCUAGAAGUGUUUCUUCCCAAAAUGUCAUCAGCACUCACUUCAUGGUCACAGUCAAACUACUUUCUAUCACGUUGUAGCUGGCUUGCUGAACCACAUUCAACAUUUUCUUUCUGGCUCUUUUUUGUCUUAAACUAUUUUUGGCAUUCACUUUCUAAUGUGUUGACUUACAUUUUCUUUCUUUCUUUCUUUUUUUUUUUUUUUUUGAGGCAGAGUCUCACUCUGUUGCCCA
Molecule: long non-coding RNA, 335 nt
Organism: Cercocebus atys (sooty mangabey)
Lineage: Eukaryota; Metazoa; Chordata; Mammalia; Primates; Cercopithecidae
Exons: 3
Source: RefSeq, a predicted model, not a curated record